RNAcentral lists this long non-coding RNA (540 nucleotides) under Gossypium barbadense (sea-island cotton). Its description in RNAcentral is "long non-coding RNA (GBAR_LNC011271)". The record is from RNAcentral. Lineage: Eukaryota; Viridiplantae; Streptophyta; Magnoliopsida; Malvales; Malvaceae.
GCUCGGAUGAGCAGCGCUUCCUGAGCAUCCUUCACAUUCUCAGGCCUGCCUCCCCACUUCUUCAGGCAAGUGUUUUGAAGGGCUCUUGCAUAUGAGAAUGACACAUGCCAUGGGUUUGGAGCUUGGUUCAUUGCAUUCAAGUUCAAGGUAGCCUCAACUUCAGACUGCCCACCAGACAAAAACUGCCAAAAAAAUGCAACCAAACAACCAUUAGCUGCUAAGUUUCCUCUAGGCAUGUUAAAGAACUUAUAUUAUCGUAGCCAAUUACCAUGAUUCCAGGGACAGCUGGAGGGAUUCUUUGGCGGAGGAGGCUGAGGGUGUAAUCAGCAACUUGUUGAGGAGUAGCCCUGUCCUUGCACUCCGCACCGGGAGUGACCAUACUUGGCUUGAGGAGGAUACCUUGAAACAUCACAUUGUUCUGGGAAAGAUAGAAGAAAACCUCAGCCCAUACCUUUUUGGCUACUUCGAAAGUCCUGUCAAUUCCGUGAUCACCAUCAAGCAAGAUCUCUGGCUCAACAAUUGGAACCAAUCCAUUGUCCU